GGCUCAGGAUGAACGCUGGCGGCGUGCUUAACACAUGCAAGUCGAACGAAGCCCUCGGGCUUAGUGGCGGACGGGUGAGUAACGCGUGAGAAUCUACCUUCUAGAUGGGGACAACCGUUGGAAACGACAGCUAAUCCCCAAUAAGCCGAGAGGUGAAACGGGUAUCCGCUAGAAGAGGAGCUCGCGUCCGAUUAGUUAGUUGGUGGGGUAAAAGCCUACCAAGGCAGCGAUCGGUAGCUGGUCUGAGAGGAUGAGCAGCCACACUGGGACUGAGACACGGCCCAGACUCCUACGGGAGGCAGCAGUGGGGAAUUUUCCGCAAUGGGCGAAAGCCUGACGGAGCAACGCCGCGUGUGGGAAGAAGGCUCUUGGGCUGUCAACCACUUUUCUCAGGGAAGAAGACCUGACGGUACCUGAGGAAUCAGCCUCGGCUAACUCCGUGCCAGCAGCCGCGGUAAUACGGAGGAGGCAAGCGUUAUCCGGAAUUAUUGGGCGUAAAGCGUCCGCAGGGGGCGCAUCAAGUCUGCUGUUAAAGGUCGGAGCUAAACUCCGGUAGAGCAGUGGAAACUGGUGCGCUAGAGGGCGACAGGGGUAGAGGGAAUUCCCAGUGUAGCGGUGAAAUGCGUAGAGAUUGGGAAGAACACCGGUGGCGAAAGCGCUCUACUGGGUCGCACCUGACCCUCAGGGACGAAAGCUAAGGUAGCGAAAGGGAUUAGAUACCCCUGUAGUCUUAGCCGUAAACGAUGGAUACUAGGCGUGGUUUGUAUCGACCCAAGCCGUGCCGAAGCUAACGCGUUAAGUAUCCCGCCUGGGGAGUACGCACGCAAGUGUGAAACUCAAAGGAAUUGACGGGGGCCCGCACAAGCGGUGGAGGAUGUGGUUUAAUUCGAUGCAACGCG
Molecule: ribosomal RNA, 899 nt
Filed under: uncultured organism
Description: bacterial SSU rRNA
Rfam family: Bacterial small subunit ribosomal RNA
Source: RNAcentral